Molecule: non-coding RNA, 97 nt
Filed under: uncultured Dorea sp.
Lineage: Bacteria; Bacillati; Bacillota; Clostridia; Lachnospirales; Lachnospiraceae
Source: RNAcentral
GACGGGGAGCCGGCGCACAAAGCCGGCUGAGAGUAGGAUGAAAGUGCCUUUACCCAUUGACCUGAUUUGGAUAAUGCCAACGUAGGGAAAUAACGCA